UAAGUAGUAGUUUAUCCUACUAAAACAUUAAGUUGCAAACUUGAAAAAGAGCUUAGCUCCUACUUUU
Molecule: transfer RNA, 67 nt
Filed under: Aplysia vaccaria
Lineage: Eukaryota; Metazoa; Mollusca; Gastropoda; Aplysiida; Aplysiidae
Description: tRNA-Cys
Source: RNAcentral